AAUCUUCCGCAAUGGACGAAAGUCUGUCGGAGCAACGCCGCGUGAGCGAAGAAGGCCUUCGGGUCGUAAAGCUUUGUUGAGAGGGAAGAACAAGUAUCGGCGUAACCGCCGGUACUCUCACGGUACCUAUCCAGAAAGCAACCGCUAACUACAUGCACGCAGCCGCGGUAAUACGUAGGUGGCACGCGUUGUCCGGAAUUAUUGGGCGUAAAGCGCGCGCAGGCGGUCUCUUAAGUCUGAUGUGAAAGCCCCCGGCUCAACCGGGGAGGGUCAUUGGAAACUGGGAGACUUGAGUGCAGAAGAGAAGAGCGGAAUUCCACGUGUAGCGGUGAAAUGCGUAGAGAUGUGGAGGAACACCAGUGGCGAAGGCGGCUCUUUGGUCUGUAACUGACGCUGAGGCGCGAAAGCGUGGGGAGCAAACAGG
Molecule: ribosomal RNA, 424 nt
Filed under: uncultured bacterium
Lineage: Bacteria
Description: partial 16S ribosomal RNA
Rfam family: Bacterial small subunit ribosomal RNA
Source: RNAcentral